RNAcentral lists this ribosomal RNA (468 nucleotides) under uncultured bacterium. RNAcentral's name for it is "partial 16S ribosomal RNA". It matches the Rfam family "Bacterial small subunit ribosomal RNA", at positions 28 to 507 of the family's 1533-position model. The record is from RNAcentral.
GACGAACGCUGGCGGCGUGCUUAACACAUGCAAGUCGAACGGAAAGGCGCUGCUUUUGCGGGGUGCUCGAGUGGCGAACGGGUGAGUAACACGUGAGUAACCUGCCCUUGACUUUGGGAUAACUUCAGGAAACUGGGGCUAAUACAGGAGAGGAGCUCUUGCUGCACGGUGGGGGUUGGAAAGAUUCGGCGGUUGGGGAUGGACUCGCGGCUUAUCAGCUGGUUGGUGGGGUAGUGGCUGACCAAGGUUUUGACGGGUAGCCGGCCUGAGAGGGUGGACGGCGACAUUGGGACUGCGGUAGGGCGCAGACGCCUAUGUGAGGCAACGGGGGAGAGUAUUGCGGAGUGGGCGGGCGCCUGAUACGACAACGCCGCGUGCGGGAUGACGUCCUUCGAGGUGUAAACCGCUUUCGCCUGUGACGAAGCGUGAGUGACGGUAAUGGGUAAGAAAGCACCGGCUAACUACGUG